CUGUUUCAUCUCAGCCUCCAGCCCCGAGAGGAGCCGCCGCCGCCGCCCAGAGGAGACGCCCAGCCCCGAGAGGAGCCACCGCCGCCGAGAGGAGACGCCCCAGCCCCGAGAGGAGCAACCGCCGCCGCCGCCUCCCUCGCCCGCGGCCAUGAUGACCAAUCUGGCGUGGGCGCCGCAGAUCACCCUCUGGUCCAUGGCCUCGACCAGUUUGCUAUGAUCCGGCGAUGGGGAUGCAAGGAGAAGUUGUUGCGGUUUCAAGGGGCCGUGAGGAUGCCCACCAUGAAGGCGUGUCUGGGAUGAUGGAGGUGAUAUCCAGGCCCUGGUGAUAUCGGCCAGGUCCCCGUUGCCGCCGACUGGCGGCGGCCACCGUGUCCUCUUCCAUGGCGUCGGCGGGGCCUUCCCCUGCCAAGCGCAGCGGCUCCUUGGCUGGAUCACCGUCGCACACCUCGCCGGCGUGGUCGGCAAGAUCUGCAUCUCGAUCCUCGCCACUCUCCAUCCUCUUGCAGGUUUAUAAAUUUCGAAAUAUAGUUGCAGCUUCACGGAAUGGACGGCCCAAAUUAUGUUAGUGUCUAUAUGUUUACUUGGUGGUGGUCUAGCGUGAGUGACACAUGCAUCUGUAACUUACCCAUUGGAUGUUGUUCGAAAUCACCUGACAACACAGAAAACCACUAGGUAUUACAAGGGCAUCUUUCACACGUUGUCUACAAUUUGUAGAGAAGAGAGUGGUAGAGGAUUGUAUAAAGGCCUUUGGUCCACCUUAUUGGGAGUUGGACCUGAUAUAUCAAUCAACGUUUAUGUAUAUGAAUCCCUGAGGUCUCAUUGGCAAAUGGAAAGUUGAAUGUCAAACUGUGCGACCAAUGAUUUGCUAUGGUUAAUUCCAGUUGGGUGUGUUAACCUACAGUAAUCAAUCAAGUCAACAAAUAUAACAAUGAUACUUUGUCUUCUGAUUUUUGGUGGUGAUUUUUUUUGUGACUGAACUAACAGGAGCUGAAGCAUGUGUUCUUAUUUUUUUAUAUGACUAGAUGCAUAUGAACUGAAGCUCCAUAAUUUUCUUUUCAAGUCGACAUUGGUGGCAACUCCCUACAAUUAGCGUUAUUUACAACCAAUGAAGUCUUAUAAUUUUCUUUCUUAGAAAUAUACAGUGACACUGACUAUCAUUUAGUAGCUCUACAGGCACUAGCCAAAAACAAUAAUGUUUAUUUAUUUAACCACCAAAUAGAACAAUAGGUUAUUCUGCAUUAUGGGUACACAAAUCACAACACUAUAUUUCAGCUGUAGAAAUCUGUGUGGAUGCCUGCUGAUAUUUUAAGCCUACAUAUUGCCGAUUUGGUUUGAGGAAUGCUUGAAGCAUAAUUUACUCCCUAAUGUGCAAUUAGCAGUAUCAUUUUUUGUCAAGAAACUGAGAAGACGGAAGAGAGUUGGUGUUGUCAGUGUGGUGAGCCUAUGCGGCAACCACAAGGCUGAAGUCUGCUUUGAUCGUUGUUCAAGAUUUGAGCCUUGGCUCCGGUUUUGAUAGCUCUAUAUCAGGAGUACAUGUCAUGAUUGUUGGAUACACAUGCAGACUUUCAGCGAGUUUUUGUUCUCGGACUUGGGAUCCACAGUCCAAAGUUGAUUGGUGGAUCAAGUGAACUUGGUGCAUCUCCAUUCAAGC
This is a non-coding RNA of Aegilops tauschii subsp. strangulata, 1651 nucleotides long. Lineage: Eukaryota; Viridiplantae; Streptophyta; Magnoliopsida; Poales; Poaceae. The record is from RefSeq and is a predicted model, not a curated record.